GCGCCUCAUUCUCUCCCGUGCCCCUUCUCCCAGCUGGGUCUGAGCCCCCACCCCCCGGCUUCUCCAUUCUGCUUCUCCCAGCUUCUCUCUCCAUCUCCCCCGAUGGCCUCUCUGCCUCAACUUCCAGGUCUCUGCUGGUCCCUAGGAAGCACUUUGACCUCUGCUUCCCCUUCAAAUGCUGUGGAUCAAGCCUCCCCAACCCCACCAUCCCACCAAAGGGGGCUGCUGACCGAGAGAGCUCACUCAGCCAGCUGCUCCCUCUACCUGGAAACCUCCAUUUGUCAAGCUGCUGCUGUCUUCAAGAUCUUCCUGAUCAGAAUCUCCUGCUGUCCUCUUCUGCCACCCACAGCAACGUGAGCCUUCACUGGCUGGCCUUCCCUACUCACUGGAGCAGAGCUACCAGCGUCAGAAUGCCCUGGACCAGCGGUUAGAAACACAGAUUCCUGAGUCUACACUUGAAGAUUUUUUUCUUUCUUUCUUCUUUUUUUUCCAAUUUUUUUAAUUUUAGAGAUGGGGUCUCACCAUGUUGCCCAGGCUGGUCUCAAGUUCCUGGGCUCAGGUCGUCAUCCCACCUAGGCCUUCUAAAGUGUUAGGAUUACAGGCGUGAGCCCUGAACCUUGUAACAUGAACAUUUAUUAGUUAUAUCUGGAAA
This 652-nucleotide non-coding RNA is filed under the name Pongo abelii (Sumatran orangutan). Lineage: Eukaryota; Metazoa; Chordata; Mammalia; Primates; Hominidae. The record is from RNAcentral.